GAAAUGCGAUAAGUAGUGUGAAUUGCAGAAUUCAGUGAAUCAUCGAAUCUUUGAACGCACAUUGCGCCCCUUGGUAUUCCAUGGGGCAUGCCUGUUCGAGCGUCAUUUGUACCCUCAAGCUCUGCUUGGUGUUGGGUGUUUGUCCCGUCUCCGCGCGUGGACUCGCCCCAAAGUGAUUGGCAGCCGGCGUACUGGUCCCGGAGCGCAGCACAUGUCGCGCAAACGAGUGCCUUGGUACGGCGGCGUCCAUAAGCCCCUCUCUCACGCUCUUGACCUCUGAUCAGGUAGGGAUACCCACUGAACUUAAGC
This 309-nucleotide unclassified non-coding RNA is filed under the name plant metagenome. Its description in RNAcentral is "partial contains 5.8S ribosomal RNA, internal transcribed spacer 2, and large subunit ribosomal RNA". The stretch from base 1 to 105 matches the Rfam family "5.8S ribosomal RNA", at positions 50 to 154 of the family's 154-position model. The record is from RNAcentral.